UACGUAGGUGGCAAGCGUUGUCCGGAUUUACUGGGCGUAAAGGGCGUGCAGGCGGUUUGUUUAGUCUAGGGUGAAAGCUCCCGGCUUAACUGGGAGAGGUCCUUGGAUACUGGCAAACUUGAGGGAGGCAGAGGAAAGUGGAAUUCCCGGUGUAGUGGUGAUAUGCGUAGAUAUCGGGAGGAACACCAGUGGCGAAGGCGGCUUUCUGGGCCUUACCUGACGCUGAGGCGCGAAAGCUAGGGGAGCAAACGGG
RNAcentral lists this ribosomal RNA (253 nucleotides) under uncultured bacterium. RNAcentral's name for it is "partial 16S ribosomal RNA". It matches the Rfam family "Bacterial small subunit ribosomal RNA", at positions 524 to 776 of the family's 1533-position model. The record is from RNAcentral.